UACGGAGGGUGCAAGCGUUAUCCGGAUUUACUGGGUUUAAAGGGUGCGUAGGUGGGUAGGAAAGUCAGUGGUGAAAUCUUCGGGCUUAACCCGGAAACUGCCAUUGAUACUAUUUAUCUUGAAUACUUUGGAGGUAAGCGGAAUAUGUCAUGUAACGGUGAAAUGCUUAGAUAUGACAUAGAACACCAAUUGCGAAGGCAGCUUACUACACAGUUAUUGACACUGAGGCACGAAAGCGUGGAGAUCAAACAGG
RNAcentral lists this ribosomal RNA (253 nucleotides) under uncultured bacterium. RNAcentral describes it as "partial 16S ribosomal RNA". It matches the Rfam family "Bacterial small subunit ribosomal RNA", at positions 524 to 776 of the family's 1533-position model. The record is from RNAcentral.